This 912-nucleotide ribosomal RNA is filed under the name uncultured bacterium. RNAcentral describes it as "bacterial SSU rRNA". It matches the Rfam family "Bacterial small subunit ribosomal RNA", at positions 8 to 916 of the family's 1533-position model. The record is from RNAcentral.
AGAGUUUGAUCCUGGCUCAGGAUGAACGCUAGCGGCAGGCNUAACACAUGCAAGUCGAGGGGCAUCGCGGUGCAGCAAUGCACUGGCGGCGACCGGCGUACGGGUGCGUAACGCGUAUGCAACCUGCCCCGCACCGGGGGAUAGCCCGCCGAGAGGCGGAUUAAUACCCCAUGGUCCCGGGGGCCCGCAUGGGCAUCCGGGUAAAGCCUUGGCGGUGCGGGAUGGGCAUGCGUGCCAUUAGCUGGCUGGUGGGGUAACGGCCCACCAGGGCAACGAUGGCUAGGGGGUCUGAGAGGAUGGUCCCCCACACUGGUACUGAGACACGGACCAGACUCCUACGGGAGGCAGCAGUGAGGAAUAUUGGUCAAUGGGCGGAAGCCUGAACCAGCCAUGCCGCGUGCGGGAUGAAGGCCCUACGGGUUGUAAACCGCUUUUCCCCGGGAAGAAUAACCCCGAUGAGUCGGGGGAUGCCGGUACCGGGGGAAUAAGGAUCGGCUAACUCCGUGCCAGCAGCCGCGGUAAUACGGAGGAUCCGAGCGUUAUCCGGAUUUACUGGGUUUAAAGGGUGCGUAGGCGGCCCUGCAAGUCAGCGGUGAAAUGUGGCGGCUCAACCGUUUCGCUGCCGCUGAUACUGUAGGGCUUGGAUGCGGUCGAGGCGGGUGGAAUUCGUGGUGUAGCGGUGAAAUGCAUAGAUAUCACGAGGAACGCCGAUAGCGAAGGCAGCUCGCCGGGCCGCGAUCGACGCUGAGGCACGAAAGCGUGGGGAUCAAACAGGAUUAGAUACCCUGGUAGUCCACGCCGUAAACGAUGAUGGCUGGGCGUGCGCCCGCGAGGGCGCGUGCCUGAGGGAAACCAUUAAGCCAUCCACCUGGGGAGUACGGCCGCAAGGCUGAAACUCAAAGGAAUUGACGG